GAUUAGCUCAGGUGGUAGAGCACUUGACUUUUAAUCAAGUUGUCGCGGGUUCGAGUCCCGCAUC
RNAcentral lists this transfer RNA (64 nucleotides) under human gut metagenome. It matches the Rfam family "tRNA", at positions 5 to 66 of the family's 71-position model. From Rfam's summary of the family: Transfer RNA (tRNA) molecules are approximately 80 nucleotides in length. Their secondary structure includes four short double-helical elements and three loops (D, anti-codon, and T loops). The record is from RNAcentral. RNAcentral also lists the same sequence under 3 other names.